Molecule: ribosomal RNA, 253 nt
Filed under: uncultured bacterium
Lineage: Bacteria
Description: partial 16S ribosomal RNA
Rfam family: Bacterial small subunit ribosomal RNA
Source: RNAcentral
UACAGAGGUCCCAAGCGUUGUUCGGAUUCACUGGGCGUAAAGGGUGCGUAGGUGGUCGGGUAAGUCUGAUGUGAAAUCUCCGAGCUUAACUCGGAAAUGGCAUUGGAUACUAUUCGGCUAGAGGGUUUGAGGGGGGACUGGAAUACUUGGUGUAGCAGUGAAAUGCGUAGAUAUCGAGAGGAACACCUGCGGCGAAGGCGGGUUGCUGGGCCGACACUGACGCUGAUGCGCGAAAGCCAGGGGAGCGAACGGG